GAAAAUGAUGGAUUCAUAGCUACUGAUAUUGAACGCUCAUCACUUAUUUUAUGUGGUAAAGCGUUCUCAGAUUCAAAUACAACUAAAGAAGCACUAGCUGCCUUGUCUGGGCCUGUUAUAUUUGCAAGAGGAGGCCUUCCAUUAUCUGCAAGGCUUUUAGUGUCUGGUGAUUCUGUGGUUCUUUUAUUUACACCCAAAAGGACCUUUAAGAGUUGCAGAGAUCUGUUGGUGCCUUCAGAUGCAGGUGUAAUUCUUUCUUCUAAUGGUCUGGCCUUUUUGUAUCAAACUGGUGGAUCAAAUCUAUUCAAAUUGCCAGCUUCUGUAUUCCUUGCAUCUUCUGACAGUUCUGGUGUUAUCCCUUCUGUUUCAAAGCUCUCCCCUGGCCAGGCAGCUUAUCACUUCUUGACUGGUUAUCAGA
This is a long non-coding RNA of Prunus persica (peach), 418 nucleotides long. RefSeq lists it as uncharacterized. The transcript has 3 exons. The record is from RefSeq and is a predicted model, not a curated record. NCBI's taxonomy places the organism in Eukaryota, Viridiplantae, Streptophyta, Magnoliopsida, Rosales, Rosaceae.